Molecule: ribosomal RNA, 194 nt
Filed under: uncultured bacterium
Lineage: Bacteria
Description: partial 16S ribosomal RNA
Rfam family: Bacterial small subunit ribosomal RNA
Source: RNAcentral
GGUAGCUAAUACCGCAUAACGUCGCAAGACCAANAGGGGGACCUUCGGGCCUCUUGCCAUCGGAUGUGCCCAGAUGGGAUUAGCUAGUAGGUGGGGUAAAGGCUCACCUAGGCGACGAUCCCUAGCUGGUCUGAGAGGAUGACCAGCCACACUGGAACUGAGACACGAUCCAGACUCCUACGGGAGGCAGCAUG